This is a long non-coding RNA of Talpa occidentalis (Iberian mole), 649 nucleotides long. RefSeq lists it as uncharacterized. The record is from RefSeq and is a predicted model, not a curated record. The transcript has 3 exons. NCBI's taxonomy places the organism in Eukaryota, Metazoa, Chordata, Mammalia, Eulipotyphla, Talpidae.
CUGAAUGGUGCUAAGCAUAGGUACAAGACAGAGAGGGGCCGCCAGGUGGGUGUUGCUGUUAUCAGAUUGGGACCUUGAGCCAGUGUGAGCAGAAAGUAUGAGGAGAAGACACCAUAAAACCCAGAAGGCCAGCUCCAUUUGAAUUGCAAGUCUCAAAAGCAAGUGGGAGAUGCCUGCUAUCUGCAACUCUAAGGAUAUUCACAUGAGUGACUUCAAGUGACUGAAUCUCAAUGGUUCUGAAAGUGAAAAACAAAUGUGAUAAGGGCAGGACAUUGAGCAAAGGAAGAAAUGGCUUAUAUAUCACCUCAAGGAAAAUGUCUGCUGUGAAAUCUUAACCUUGGACGAACAUAAACAGGUGCAAGUGGCCAGUGCUGCAAUUCACCUGCCAGGAUAGUGUCAUCAGGGCCCAGUAUGAGCCCUGGUCACCAUCCAGCAGCAACAAGUCUUAUCAAAGUGAUUUGAAGCCUGACUAGUCACCAUCCUCUCCCAUGUCAUCAGUACUUAAUGGGGACCUGAAUUCCACUCCCAUUCAACACCAAGGAGAUUGAACAAAGCAAUGUCCUCCCCAGUUUGGGUGCGGUCUUGAAAAUGGCAGCUUGAAUUCCAGUGUGGUACCCUGGGCACUUGUUCCAAGAAGAACAGAAUAGAC